Long non-coding RNA from Homo sapiens (human), 1132 nucleotides. NCBI's taxonomy places the organism in Eukaryota, Metazoa, Chordata, Mammalia, Primates, Hominidae. The record is from Ensembl.
AGAGCCUCUCUCAACGCCGGCAAGUGCAGCCGGGCCGCCCAGCCCCCAGGCCAGCCUGGCCCCCUCUGGGCCUGGGGUUGGCGAGGGCAGCUGGGCGUCUGCGCUGCCCAGCCCAGCCGCGGAUCCAUGGGGUUUCGCGAGCUGAAAGUAAAGGCUUGAGGGAGUGGGGACACCCACACCGACCCGCGGCACGCAGGGGAGUCAAGCUGCGGCCAAUGCAAGACGAGCAGGGUAGACUACUACUAGCGGUGGCCGGAGGCUCAGCCACCUUCGCGGGAGAGGGGAUUUACCGCCACCCUCAUCCACGCGCAGGCCCCACCGCCCGGUCCUCUCCUCUGAUCCCCGGGCCAUUGCGAAACACGGAGCGAACAGGUCCUCGCCAGCAGCCGUCAUUUCCCGGGAAGAUGGGAACCCACAAGCCUGACUGUGCUUCCUAAGGAUACUAGCGUGCGCGCAGACCUUGGGGGGAAAGAGGGCAGCGCGGUCUCCCCGACCCGGACUCUUCCCUGGCGCAGCACACAACCGCCACGGGCUUCCGAAGCGCCCGAGCGGGGAGGAGGAAGGAAAAGCGGAGGCCCGGGAGGCGGGCUGCGCGCUUGGAAGCCGUGUGUGUUUAUGUGUCUGCGCGCGCGCCCUGGCCGGACGGGUGUUGAGGGGAGAGUGAUCGUGAGCAACCCGGAACCAGCAGUCCCAACCUGGACUGACGAACUGGGCUCUCCAGUCCUGGGCCGUGGGGCUCCAUGCCUCGGGCUGGCGGGACAAGCGGCGGGGAGCCCGGAGCUUCGGAGCCGCCGCCGGGCAUCUAGCCAGCUCCGCGGGAGAAGCCCGGGGGCGCGUCGGGAGCCAGGGGACUGGUGUGAACUAGCCGCCCCCGCAGGCGGACGUUUAGCUCCGGCACCCGGGAGCACUGACACUGGGCGAUAAGGAGUUCCUCGGCAAUCGGCUGUCCCCAGUCCCCAGUCACCUCCGGCGGACGUGACCGCCGGAUGCUAUGCAGCUAGGUGGGCCAGGGGGGCCUUUGCAUUGCCUUCCCUGACCCCUUCCUUGCCGCGGAGGAGCCACAGUAAGAUGCCUCUGUACGACUCUCCAGAACUUUCUUUUGCAAAAUAAAGGCCAAAUGUUGGGCCUUCUA